Molecule: ribosomal RNA, 468 nt
Filed under: uncultured bacterium
Lineage: Bacteria
Description: partial 16S ribosomal RNA
Rfam family: Bacterial small subunit ribosomal RNA
Source: RNAcentral
GACGAACGCUGGCGGCGUGCUUAACACAUGCAAGUCGAACGGAAAGGCCCUGCUUUUGUGGGGUGCUCGAGGGGCGAACGGGUGAGUAACACGUGAGUAACCUGCCCUUGACUGUGGGAUAACUUCAGGAAACUGGGGCUAAUACCGGAUAGGAGCUCCUGCUGCAUGGUGGGGGUUGGAAAGUUUCGGCGGUUGGGGGUGGACUCGCGGCUUAUCAGCUUGUUGGUUGGGGAGUGGCUUACCAAGGCUUUGGCGGGUAGCCGGCAUGGGAGGGUGACCGGCCACAUUGGGCCUGAGAGACGGCCCAGACGCCUACGGGAGGCAGCAGGGGGGAAUAUUGCACAAUGGGGGGACGCCUGAUGCAGCAACGCCGCGUGCGGGAUGACGGCCUUCGGGUUGUAAACCGCUUUCGCCUGUGACGAAGCGGGAGUGACGGUAAUGGGUAAAGAAGCACCGGCUAACUACGUG